UAGAUGUUAACUCUUCCGCUGCUCAUACUUUUAGUGAUUGGAGUAUUGAAGACCACCACACACAAGAAGUAGAAAACUUCCAGUUUGCAGACAUCGAUCUCCUCCACCUCCAGCACUGUACGCCGACUCUCUUUGAGCCUGGGUGACUUUGAUGGUAUUAUCAAACAAAUGCACAUUUCUUCAGAAGGCUUCAUCUGAAAAAUUAAUAUCCAGGACUAAG
Danio aesculapii is the source of this 220-nucleotide long non-coding RNA. RefSeq lists it as uncharacterized. Lineage: Eukaryota; Metazoa; Chordata; Actinopteri; Cypriniformes; Danionidae. The transcript is spliced from 3 exons. The record is from RefSeq and is a predicted model, not a curated record.